CCUACGGGAGGCAGCAGUGGGGAAUCUUGCGCAAUGGGCGAAAGCCUGACGCAGCCAUGCCGCGUGAAUGAUGAAGGUCUUAGGAUUGUAAAAUUCUUUCACCGGGGACGAUAAUGACGGUACCCGGAGAAGAAGCCCCGGCUAACUUCGUGCCAGCAGCCGCGGUAAUACGAAGGGGGCUAGCGUUGCUCGGAAUUACUGGGCGUAAAGGGAGCGUAGGCGGAUAGUUUAGUCAGAGGUGAAAGCCCAGGGCUCAACCUUGGAAUUGCCUUUGAUACUGGCUAUCUUGAGUACGGAAGAGGUAUGUGGAACUCCGAGUGUAGAGGUGAAAUUCGUAGAUAUUCGGAAGAACACCAGUGGCGAAGGCGACAUACUGGUCCGUUACUGACGCUGAGGCUCGAAAGCGUGGGGAGCAAACAGGAUUAGAUACCCUGGUAGUCCACGCUGUAAACGAUGAGUGCUAGUUGUCGGCAUGCAUGCAUGUCGGUGACGCAGCUAACGCAUUAAGCACUCCGCCUGGGGAGUACGGUCGCAAGAUUAAAACUCAAAGGAAUUGACGGCUGAGACGNGCGAGCGACGACGAGGGAGAG
RNAcentral lists this ribosomal RNA (590 nucleotides) under uncultured bacterium. RNAcentral describes it as "bacterial SSU rRNA". It matches the Rfam family "Bacterial small subunit ribosomal RNA", at positions 338 to 945 of the family's 1533-position model. The record is from RNAcentral.